GUUUGUUUUCCUUGUUAAUUUCCAUCUUCUUGAAUUUCCACUGCUCGAUAGUCCUUAGCCUUUGUUUGUUUGAGUUGUUUAGCCACUUCUGUUACAUAGGCUCGUGUGGACUGAGCCCGGGAAAGGCUAACCCUAAGUGCGAUAUGGGCUAAUUGCUCGUGAGUUUGUGUUGCCGUAAAAUUAGCGAUGUAGUUGGAUAGACAACGGACACAUAGAUCUUGAUAGAGCGUGGCUUGGCACUGGAAUUCGAUGAAUGCCCUAGCACGCGAGCGCCUACGAAUUGCCGGAUGUUUUGCCGUGGCGACCGAGAAGAUGACAAGGAGAAGUAUGAAAGAGAUCCUAAUUUUUGCCAUGUGCUUGUGAUUAAGAGAUGACUUUCUAAUGUUAUUUGUGAUUUGAGUGCAAAAAU
This 409-nucleotide long non-coding RNA is filed under the name Olea europaea subsp. europaea. Lineage: Eukaryota; Viridiplantae; Streptophyta; Magnoliopsida; Lamiales; Oleaceae. The record is from RNAcentral.